RNAcentral lists this ribosomal RNA (902 nucleotides) under Sphingobacterium sp. RNAcentral describes it as "bacterial SSU rRNA". It matches the Rfam family "Bacterial small subunit ribosomal RNA", at positions 90 to 993 of the family's 1533-position model. The record is from RNAcentral. Lineage: Bacteria; Pseudomonadati; Bacteroidota; Sphingobacteriia; Sphingobacteriales; Sphingobacteriaceae.
UGAGAGUGGCGCACGGGUGCGUAACGCGUGAGCAACCUACCUCUAUCAGGGGGAUAGCCUCUCGAAAGAGAGAUUAACACCGCAUAAUAUAAUGUACCGGCAUCGGGAUAUUAUUAAAUAUUUAUAGGAUAGAGAUGGGCUCGCGUGACAUUAGCUAGUUGGUAGGGUAACGGCUUACCAAGGCGACGAUGUCUAGGGGCUCUGAGAGGAGAAUCCCCCACACUGGUACUGAGACACGGACCAGACUCCUACGGGAGGCAGCAGUAAGGAAUAUUGGUCAAUGGGCGGAAGCCUGAACCAGCCAUGCCGCGUGCAGGAUGACUGCCCUAUGGGUUGUAAACUGCUUUUGUCCAGGAAUAAACCUAUAUACGUGUAUAUAGCUGAAUGUACUGGAAGAAUAAGGAUCGGCUAACUCCGUGCCAGCAGCCGCGGUAAUACGGAGGAUCCGAGCGUUAUCCGGAUUUAUUGGGUUUAAAGGGUGCGUAGGCGGCCUAUUAAGUCAGGGGUGAAAUACGGUGGCUCAACCAUCGCAGUGCCUUUGAUACUGAUGGGCUUGAAUCCAUUUGAAGUGGGCGGAAUAAGACAAGUAGCGGUGAAAUGCAUAGAUAUGUCUUAGAACUCCGAUUGCGAAGGCAGCUCACUAAGCUGGUAUUGACGCUGAUGCACGAAAGCGUGGGGAUCGAACAGGAUUAGAUACCCUGGUAGUCCACGCCCUAAACGAUGAUAACUCGAUGUUGGCGAUAGACAGCCAGCGUCUUAGCGAAAGCGUUAAGUUAUCCACCUGGGGAGUACGCCCGCAAGGGUGAAACUCAAAGGAAUUGACGGGGGCCCGCACAAGCGGAGGAGCAUGUGGUUUAAUUCGAUGAUACGCGAGGAACCUUACCCGGGCUUGAAAGUUAGUG